RNAcentral lists this ribosomal RNA (460 nucleotides) under uncultured bacterium. Its description in RNAcentral is "partial 16S ribosomal RNA". It matches the Rfam family "Bacterial small subunit ribosomal RNA", at positions 338 to 795 of the family's 1533-position model. The record is from RNAcentral.
CCUACGUGGGACAGCAGUGAGGAAUAUUGGUCAAUGUGCGCGAGCCUGAACCAGCCAAGUAGCGUGAAGGAUGACUGCCCUACGGGUUGUAAACUUCUUUUAUAAAGGAAUAAAGUGAGGCACGUGUGCCUUUUUGUAUGUACUUUAUGAAUAAGGAUCGGCUAACUCCGUGCCAGCAGCCGCGGUAAUACGGAGGAUCCGAGCGUUAUCCGGAUUUAUUGGGUUUAAAGGGAGCGUAGAUGGGUUGUUAAGUCAGUUGUGAAAGUUUGCGGCUCAACCGUAAAAUUGCAAUUGAUACUGGCAGUCUUGAGUACAGUUGAGGUAGGCGGAAUUCGUGGUGUAGCGGUGAAAUGCUUAGAUAUCACGAAGAACUCCGAUUGCGAAGGCAGCUUACUAAACUGCCACUGACAUUGAUGCUCGAAAGUGUGGGUAUCAAACAGGAUUAGAUACCCCGGUAGUC